UACGUAGGGGGCAAGCGUUGUCCGGAUUUAUUGGGCGUAAAGAGCGUGUAGGCGGCCAGGUAGGUCGGUUGUGAAAACUGGAGGCUCAACCUUCAGAGGUCGACCGAAACCAUCUGGCUAGAGUCCGGGAGAGGAGAGUGGAAUUCCUGGUGUAGCGGUGAAAUGCGCAGAUAUCAGGAGGAACACCGGUGGCGAAGGCGGCGACCUGGGUCGAGACUGACGCUGAGGCGCGAAAGCGUGGGGAGCAAACAGG
Molecule: ribosomal RNA, 253 nt
Filed under: uncultured bacterium
Lineage: Bacteria
Description: partial 16S ribosomal RNA
Rfam family: Bacterial small subunit ribosomal RNA
Source: RNAcentral